AUUGAACGCUGGCGGCAUGCUUUACACAUGCAAGUCGAACGGUAACAGGCCGCUAGGUGCUGCCGAGUGGCGCACGGGGGAGUAAUGCAUCGGAACGUGCCCAGUCGUGGGGGAUAACUACUCGCAAGAGUAGCUAAUACACCAUACGAGCUAUGGAUGAAAGCGGGGGACCGUAAGGCCUCGCGCGCUUGGAGCGGCCGAUGUCAGAUUAGGUAGUUGGUGGGGGAAAGGCUCACCAAGCCAACGAUCUGUAGCUGGUCUGAGAGGACGACCAGCCACACUGGGACUGAGACACGGCCCAGACUCCUACGGGAGGCAGCAGUGGGGAAUUUUGGACAAUGGGCGCAAGCCUGAUCCAGCAAUGCCGCGUGCAGGAAGAAGGCCUUCGGGUUGUAAACUGCUUUUGUAGGGAACGAAACGGCUCUGGUUAAUACCCCGGGCUAAUGACGGUACCGGCAGAAUAAGCACCGGCUAACUACGUG
Molecule: ribosomal RNA, 482 nt
Filed under: uncultured bacterium
Lineage: Bacteria
Description: partial 16S ribosomal RNA
Rfam family: Bacterial small subunit ribosomal RNA
Source: RNAcentral